CGGAGGNGAAUAAACCNGNNGGGNNGNNGCUGGUUCCCUAGGGAGCAUGUGCACACCUUGUCAUCUUUAUAUCUCCACCUGUGCACCUUUUGUAGGCCUUUCAGGUCUAUGUUGCUUCAUUUACCCCAAUGUAUGUUAAUAGAAUGUUGUGACUAUAAUAUCUAUACAACUUUCAGCAACGGAUCUCUUGGCUCUCGCAUCGAUGAAGAACGCAGCGAAAUGCGAUAAGUAAUGUGAAUUGCAGAAUUCAGUGAAUCAUCGAAUCUUUGAACGCACCUUGCGCUCCUUGGUAUUCCGAGGAGCAUGCCUGUUUGAGUGUCAUUAAUAUAUAUAUCAAACCCCCCUCUCUUGUCGAGUGGUUUGGAUGUGGGGGUUUGCUGGCCUCUUGAAGGGGUUCAGCUCCUCUGAAAUGCAUUAGCAGAACAACAANCUGUUCAUUGGUGUGAUAACUAUCUACGCUAUUGAAUGUGAGGGUAAAAGUUCAGCUUUCUAACCGUCCAUGGACAAUUUAUCAUUAAUGUGACCUCAAAUCAGGUAGGACUACCCGCUGAACUUAAGCAUAUCA
RNAcentral lists this ribosomal RNA (565 nucleotides) under Cortinarius laniger. RNAcentral's name for it is "eukaryotic LSU rRNA". The stretch from base 168 to 321 matches the Rfam family "5.8S ribosomal RNA". Lineage: Eukaryota; Fungi; Basidiomycota; Agaricomycetes; Agaricales; Cortinariaceae. The record is from RNAcentral.